This 692-nucleotide ribosomal RNA is filed under the name uncultured Enterobacteriaceae bacterium. RNAcentral describes it as "SSU rRNA". It matches the Rfam family "Bacterial small subunit ribosomal RNA", at positions 83 to 771 of the family's 1533-position model. The record is from RNAcentral. Lineage: Bacteria; Pseudomonadati; Pseudomonadota; Gammaproteobacteria; Enterobacterales; Enterobacteriaceae.
CUCGGGUGACGAGCGGCGGACGGGUGAGUAAUGUCUGGGAAACUGCCUGAUGGAGGGGGAUAACUACUGGAAACGGUAGCUAAUACCGCAUAAUGUCGCAAGACCAAAGUGGGGGACCUUCGGGCCUCAUGCCAUCAGAUGUGCCCAGAUGGGAUUAGCUAGUAAGUGGGGUAACGGCUCACCUAAGCGACGAUCCCUAGCUGGUCUGAGAGGAUGACCAGCCACACUGGAACUGAGACACGGUCCAGACUCCUACGGGAGGCAGCAGUGGGGAAUAUUGCACAAUGGGCGCAAGCCUGAUGCAGCCAUGCCGCGUGUGUGAAGAAGGCCUUCGGGUUGUAAAGCACUUUCAGCGGGGAGGAAGGCGGUGAGGUUAAUAACCUCAUCGAUUGACGUUACCCGCAGAAGAAGCACCGGCUAACUCCGUGCCAGCAGCCGCGGUAAUACGGAGGGUGCAAGCGUUAAUCGGAAUUACUGGGCGUAAAGCGCACGCAGGCGGUCUGUCAAGUCGGAUGUGAAAUCCCCGGGCUCAACCUGGGAACUGCAUUCGAAACUGGCAGGCUAGAGUCUUGUAGAGGGGGGUAGAAUUCCAGGUGUAGCGGUGAAAUGCGUAGAGAUCUGGAGGAAUACCGGUGGCGAAGGCGGCCCCCUGGACAAAGACUGACGCUCAGGUGCGAAAGCGUGGGGAGCAA